CCUGGAGAACAUUUUGAGAGAGGUACCUGUUUUGUUGACUUUCCAUUCAUUAUUUGCUUAACAUUCAAGCUGGCUUUGUAUUUAGUACCUUAGGUUGAACUAAAUGCAUGCAGUGGAUAAUGGAUGUCAUAAGGUCACCCUUUAAAAUGUCAUAACAUAAUUUUUAUUCCUUUUCUGGUUCUCUACUUUGUAUACCAGGAUAUGGUGUAUGGUCACUUGAAACUAAAAGCUUAUCCAUGUUGCUCAUUUUCGAGUGACUGGCAAAUAAUGAAGGGAGAUUUUAGUGAUAUUAACAUUAUGUAAUCUAUAUGCUUUAUCUAAUCUGUCUAAAAGUCAUGUAUGUUCUUGAUCAUAUUGUCGUGGGCACACUUAGUCCAACGCGUGUAUUAUUCUUUGGAUGGUAGAAACUCAUUUGGCAUUUUUUUUCCCUUUCAUUGAUUAGGAUGUGGUGUAGAAAAUAACUAGGUCAUUGGCAUGCCUUAUAGCAUCCUUGGAAUAUGAUUAAAACAUAUCAAGUGAAUCACUGUAGAGAUUAAGAGCUUUCUAGUUCAUCUCACCAGCACCUUUAUCUCUAUUAAGAGUUAAAAAGAAAAAAAUGAACAGAAUUACAUUUUUUAUUCUUGGGUGGGAGGGUGUUUGACAAUCCUUCGUCAGUUACAAGAAAUUGAAUUCUUAGGAACAUACUUCCUAUUGAGUUAUAGGCCUUUGCUGCAUUAUUGAAUGCUUCAGUUUUGCAGCUUUUGCUACUAAAACAAAAGUUCUCUAAUAAUAGCGAGCUGCAUUAGGUUUGAAAAAUUACAUCCAAAUAGGUGAACCUAGGAAGUGUCAUAAAAAUAGGCCUCUUGA
This 846-nucleotide unclassified non-coding RNA is filed under the name Hevea brasiliensis (rubber tree). The record is from RNAcentral. Lineage: Eukaryota; Viridiplantae; Streptophyta; Magnoliopsida; Malpighiales; Euphorbiaceae.